CUGAAUGAGAGAAAAGUGCCCUAGAAGCUAUUCAUUACGAAUUCACUGGAAGCUCUCAAACGAGGCUGGCAGAAGCUGAAAUUGAAGUGGUCUCUGACCUAAUUUUCUUCUGCAUGAAACAUCUGCAUCAAGGCUCUCUUUGAUGUAUUCCACUUGGCUCUGUCUACGGGAUUGUAUCACAUGGACUCGGUGUUGCCUCCUUAUUGAAAGACAUUUCCAGCCUUUGCAAGAUGGCCGGUUUGACACAAAUUAGAACAACCUUGAUAGCUGUCAACUGGAGACUAUCUGAGAACAAAAGGACAUUAUUGCAAACCAGCACUGGAGCAACUCUGAAAGAAGAUAAAAGUACAUGAAGAAAUCAUUUGCAGGCACUGGACAAAAAAGAGUGCAAAACUAUAAUCUUGAGAGCAGGACACACACAGUGCAGCCAUCCAGCCCAGAACACAACAAGAAUAGAGUUGAU
This 463-nucleotide long non-coding RNA is filed under the name Homo sapiens (human). RNAcentral's name for it is "non-protein coding LINC01505:5". Lineage: Eukaryota; Metazoa; Chordata; Mammalia; Primates; Hominidae. The record is from RNAcentral.